This 243-nucleotide ribosomal RNA is filed under the name uncultured bacterium. RNAcentral describes it as "partial 16S ribosomal RNA". It matches the Rfam family "Bacterial small subunit ribosomal RNA", at positions 524 to 765 of the family's 1533-position model. The record is from RNAcentral.
UACGUAGGGUGCGAGCGUUAAUCGGAAUCACUGGGCGUAAAGGGCGCGUAGGUGGCGACCCAAGUCGAUGGUGAAAGCUCGCCGCUCAACGGCGAGUCGGCCACCGAUACUGGGUUGCUGGAGCACUGUAGAGGCAGAUGGAAUUCCGGGUGUAGCGGUGGAAUGCGUAGAGAGUCCGGAAGAACACCGGUGGCGAAGGCGGUCUGCUGGGCAGUUGCUGACACUGAGGCGCGACAGCGUGGG